This 253-nucleotide ribosomal RNA is filed under the name uncultured bacterium. RNAcentral describes it as "partial 16S ribosomal RNA". It matches the Rfam family "Bacterial small subunit ribosomal RNA", at positions 524 to 776 of the family's 1533-position model. The record is from RNAcentral.
UACGUAGGGUCCGAGCGUUGUCCGGAAUUAUUGGGCGUAAAGAGCUCGUAGGCGGUCUGUCGCGUCGGCUGUGAAAACCUGGGGCUCAACUCCAGGCCUGCAGUCGAUACGGGCAGACUAGAGUUCGGUAGGGGAGACUGGAAUUCCUGGUGUAGCGGUGAAAUGCGCAGAUAUCAGGAGGAACACCGAUUGCGAAGGCAGCUCGCUGGAACGUUACUGACGCUGAGACGCGAAAGCGUGGGGAGCAAACAGG